CGGAAAUUUGUCCUCGCUCCACCCAGCCACCCCAGGGGACCUUCUGUGCCGGAUAGAGCCCAGGGUAGAGCGUGAGUGCCCAGGAUGGAACCUGCCCUGUGCCCAGUCCACAGCCCCUGGCCCAGUGAGGUCUCCCCACCAGGCAAGGCCAUAGGUGCCAUGAGACCAGCACCCUUCGGGGGACUCCCUGGGAGCCUGACAGAGAACUGGAGGAAGUCAGAGGAGGGGGAAAGAAAGGAGAAAAGGGAGAGAGAUGCUCAACCAAUAGCUGUUUAUUGAAGGAGACAUUUGAACCACAGAGGUAAAUCAAGAUGUCAGGAUCAGCAGAAGGUGAAGCUUCCCAUGAUACUGCAACCACGUGAAAUGCUGAGUACCAUGAUUUUAGGUAUUUUAAGGAUACAAAUCCCAGCUCAAAAACAAGAAUAUGUGAUUUUCAGGUUUUAAGAGAGAGAACAGGAAUCUAUACCAGCAAGAAGGGGUCACAGCCCACAUAGCCCAUGGGAAUAGCAGGGGAUCUCACUGAGUCACUAAAUCACCCAGACUGUACUUGAACUUUUGGCCUUCCUGCUUCAGCGUCCCAGAGUGCUGGGGGCUGAAAUUUUAAUGCCUGGUUUGGGACCAGGUUCAGGAUACUGGUCCUUCUGUUGUCAUGAAUUCAAACCUGAGCUCCCAAUGUGAAGGUGGGUGUCAGAACCCAUUACAGGAACAGAAUUCCUCAGCUGUCAGCCUGGGAUCACCACAGGAGUAGAGGUACCUUCCAGGCCUUGGCUGGAAUAAAGGACAUUACACCAGGCCAGAGCCUCAAGCCUAUAACCUACACCGGUGCAAGGUCCAGAUGUAAGCUGCCUGCACAGUGCAGAAAUUGUCAGCUGAAGCAUUGCGUAAAAACAAUUUGGAGUUACCGAGCCUGCAGGGAGCUCACAGAUCAAAAUUGUGAAUCACAUAAAAAAUGUGUAUACCGUGAUAGACAGCACACAGACCCAGCAUAUGGAAGAAUUCACACCUGAGGAAUUAGAAAUGAUACCAACUAUGACUCCAACCAGGCCAUGGCUACAGGAGGCACUCAUGAACCAAGCAGCAAUGAGACAGGCCUGUUCAUGGCACCUGGCCAUUGCUGACAGGAGAGGAGGCAUUGAUCAAGAGGAUAGGAAGUGACAGAACCAUUUCAGCAAGGAAGUGUAGUUGAGCACUGACAUCGGAUUGUGUAAACUAUGAGUGUAUUCUGUG
Molecule: long non-coding RNA, 1227 nt
Filed under: Heterocephalus glaber (naked mole-rat)
Lineage: Eukaryota; Metazoa; Chordata; Mammalia; Rodentia; Bathyergidae
Description: lncRNA (ENSHGLG00000047284.1)
Source: RNAcentral